RNAcentral lists this ribosomal RNA (640 nucleotides) under Staphylococcus aureus. RNAcentral describes it as "partial 23S ribosomal RNA". It matches the Rfam family "Bacterial large subunit ribosomal RNA", at positions 343 to 985 of the family's 2925-position model. Lineage: Bacteria; Bacillati; Bacillota; Bacilli; Caryophanales; Staphylococcaceae. The record is from RNAcentral.
UGGAAAGAUGAAUCAAAGAAGGUAAUAAUCCUGUAGUCGAAAAUGUUGUCUCUCUUGAGUGGAUCCUGAGUACGACGGAGCACGUGAAAUUCCGUCGGAAUCUGGGAGGACCAUCUCCUAAGGCUAAAUACUCUCUAGUGACCGAUAGUGAACCAGUACCGUGAGGGAAAGGUGAAAAGCACCCCGGAAGGGGAGUGAAAUAGAACCUGAAACCGUGUGCUUACAAGUAGUCAGAGCCCGUUAAUGGGUGAUGGCGUGCCUUUUGUAGAAUGAACCGGCGAGUUACGAUUUGAUGCAAGGUUAAGCAGUAAAUGUGGAGCCGUAGCGAAAGCGAGUCUGAAUAGGGCGUUUAGUAUUUGGUCGUAGACCCGAAACCAGGUGAUCUACCCUUGGUCAGGUUGAAGUUCAGGUAACACUGAAUGGAGGACCGAACCGACUUACGUUGAAAAGUGAGCGGAUGAACUGAGGGUAGCGGAGAAAUUCCAAUCGAACCUGGAGAUAGCUGGUUCUCUCCGAAAUAGCUUUAGGGCUAGCCUCAAGUGAUGAUUAUUGGAGGUAGAGCACUGUUUGGACGAGGGGCCCCUCUCGGGUUACCGAAUUCAGACAAACUCCGAAUGCCAAUUAAUUUAACUUGGGAGUC